This 406-nucleotide ribosomal RNA is filed under the name uncultured bacterium. RNAcentral's name for it is "partial 16S ribosomal RNA". It matches the Rfam family "Bacterial small subunit ribosomal RNA", at positions 30 to 526 of the family's 1533-position model. The record is from RNAcentral.
AUUGAACGCUGGCGGCAUGCCUAACACAUGCAAGUCGAGCGAGCGGCGGACUGGUGAGUAAUUUCUUGGAAACUGCCUGAUGGACGGGGAUAACUACUGUAAACGGUAGCUAAUACCGCUUACCAUCCGUUCUGCCCUGAUGGGAUUAGCUAGUAGGUGGGGUAAUGGCUCACCUAGGCGACGAUGCCUAGCGGGUCUGAGAGGAUGACCAGCCACACUGGAACUGAGACACGGUCCAGACUCCUACGGGAGGUAGCAGUAGGGAAUAUUGCACAAUGGGCGAAAGCCUGAUGCAGCCAGGCCGCGUGAGUGAAGAAGGCCUUCGGGUUGUAAAGCACUUUCAGCGAGGAGGCGUUACUCGAAGAAGAAGCAACGGCUAACUCCGUGCCAACAGCCGCGGUAAUUC